AGGAUAGACGAAUCAAGUGUCUGUGAUGAGCUCACUGGGUGACUUGGUGCUGCAGCAAGGCGAAGUAAUCGAGAGAAUAAUUCAUCAACUGUUGGGACAGUCGGACUAGCCAAAAUCUGAUCGCGUACUGAAUCGAGAUCAUUAGGAAGCCCAGCAAGACUAAGAACUAGAAACAGCUUUUGUCGUUGCUCUUGCUGCUUUGCAACGCUAGCAGAAACUGGCAUCAACGUCUCAAAUUCCUCCAUAACUGCCUGCACUUGACCCAAGUAAGUAGACAUAUCUCAUUCCUGUUUCUUUAAAUUUGUCAUCCGCGAUAUCACAUCAUAGAAACGAGAUAUGUCAUUAGUGUAUAAAGUACGAGCUUUUUCCCAAACCAAAUAACAUGUUUGGAAUGGACGAAACAAGGGCAUCAACUUGGAAUCAAUAGAUCGCCACAAAAUAGUGCAUAAUUGAGCAUCGAUCUUCUCCCAAUAUGCUUUAGCUUUUUCAUCUCAUUCACUAGACUCCUUGAUUAGAUGAUCUUGAACACCUUGACCUUGACACUACAACUUGACAGACGAAGCCCAAGCUAGGUAGUUUGAACCUCCCAUUAAAGGUUCUAAGGUAAUCAUAACUCCUUGAUUAGAUGAUCCUGAACACCUUGACCUUUACACCACAAAACGACAUACGAAGCCCAAGCUAGGUAGUUUGAACCUCCCUGUAAAGGUUCUAAGGAAAUCAUAACACCGGAACUGUCAGAACCCGGGUUUCUAGACCCGAAAGCAUCGAUUCCCAAAGACAUCGUUGGGUUAUCACCAAAUAAUCAGAAAGAACCAACUGAAAACUCGCUGAAAAUGAUGAUGGAAACUGAAAACUGGAAACUGGAAACACUGUAGCUGCCGGAAACUGAAACUUAAACUGGAAACUGAAAACUGGAAACGGGAAACACUGCAGCUGCCAGAAACUGGAAACACUGUAGCUGCCGGAAAAAAAAAUACAAGGUUGUCGGAAUUGAAAAAUAAAAAUAUGGAUAGGCUCGGAAUUCGAGGACGAUCAGACUGUCCUGAAGGAACUUUUUGAAAUUCUGGCCGGAAGGUGUCUCACGCGCCGGCCCGUGGGACAGACGCACCACUGGCGGCAGAACUCCGGCGGGCGCGUGGGGGAUUCUUUUCCGAUAUUUUUUUCUGGGGCUGGUCGGAAUUCUCUUCCGAACCUUGUGGUGGUCUAGGAUUUUGCACAACACCAACAAAAAGGUAAUUUAGUUACGGACAGCCUCUUAAGACGCCGGAAAAUUGCACAGCGACGAGGUCUUUCUUCCCGGAGGUUGCUGGAAUGACGCACAGCUAUAAUAUUCUCACUGUAGCUCUGAUACCAUGUGAGAAAGCACGGGAGAAAAAUAAUAAUUGAUCUUAAACAUGAUACAAUGAGCCCUAUAUAUACACAUAACCUAUCCUACUCCUAAUACACAUUGGAUUAGGGUUAUUUUACGACUAUUUACAUAUUCCAACAGAUAUAUAUCUGGUGAUCUCUACAUUCUUGAUGAAUGAGAAUUGGGAACCACAAUCUAUUGCAUGUUCUAGUAUCGUGUCUCCUUUUGAAGCACAUUGUCGACUUGGACAUCCCUCUUUGCCUUUGUUA
Molecule: long non-coding RNA, 1617 nt
Filed under: Nicotiana benthamiana
Lineage: Eukaryota; Viridiplantae; Streptophyta; Magnoliopsida; Solanales; Solanaceae
Description: long non-coding RNA (NBEN_LNC033206)
Source: RNAcentral